Molecule: long non-coding RNA, 1066 nt
Organism: Pieris rapae (cabbage white)
Lineage: Eukaryota; Metazoa; Arthropoda; Insecta; Lepidoptera; Pieridae
Exons: 3
Source: RefSeq, a predicted model, not a curated record
UUCAUACUAAAAACAAUCGAUUAAUUUUAUGCAAAAUGUCACAUCUCUAGUAACCAAUAGAAAAGUAUUAAAUGGAACCAAUAGAAAAGUAUUUAAUGGAUAACCAAUAGAAAAGUUCGAAAGUUAAAAUGGCGGAUUGUUUACAAAUUUUUAAUGUUGAUGUUUUAUCGAAAGUGUUUUUAAAUAUGUAAUUAGUGUAGAUUACAAUUCAGAUACCAUAAAUUACUCCAAAUGUCACGGAAGUGUUCAAAUCAAGGCCCCUGAGACCCCUAGAUACUCAGAAUAAGCAAAUUCAAGGUUGUUUGAGUGCUGCAAUUGUACAUCAGCCAAUUCAUCUCCCGGACAAAAUGUGGCGACCGUGACAGGACUUCAGAUGCAGACUGCUGCAUCCGAGGGCCGGUGAAGUCCGAAGACCACACAUGGGAAGGAAGUUCGGCGUGCUCAUUGUCCGCUGCGCUCGUCGCUCCGCUCGUCGCUCCGCGCCACUCGGUACGACCCUUACCCGCGGCCAGGACGCUGUGGAUUUUGCAGGAUUUUGGUUUGAUUGCACAACAUCUUUAUAUUUUUAUCAUUUACAAAUCGAUCAUGGCUCAGAGUAAAGUAUCGGACCGGGACGAACUGGCUUUGUUAGUUGGUAAAUGUGGUACAAUUAAAGCGCGAUUAACACUAUUUAAAGAUUUUCUCUUGGUUAUUGAACAAAUUGAAACCGAUAGCAUCCCGACUGGUGAGGUCACAAGGUUUAGUUUCGCUUAGCAGAGUCGCCGAACAUUCCAGGUUGGGCGUGCUCAUUGUCCGCUGCGCUCGUCGCUCCGCUCGUCGCUCCGCGCCACUCGGUACGACCCUUACCCGCGGCCAGGACGCUGUGGAUUUUGCAGGAUUUUGGUUUGAUUGCACAACAUCUUUAUAUUUUUAUCAUUUACAAAUCGAUCAUGGCUCAGAGUAAAGUAUCGGACCGGGACGAACUGGCUUUGUUAGUUGGUAAAUGUGGUACAAUUAAAGCGCGAUUAACACUAUUUAAAGAUUUUCUCUUGGUUAUUGAACAAAUUGAAACCGAUAGCAUCCCGAC